RNAcentral lists this small nuclear RNA (131 nucleotides) under Xenopus tropicalis (tropical clawed frog). Its description in RNAcentral is "Xenopus (Silurana) tropicalis (western clawed frog) U4 spliceosomal RNA". Lineage: Eukaryota; Metazoa; Chordata; Amphibia; Anura; Pipidae. The record is from Rfam by way of RNAcentral.
GUCUGUGUACAGUAUCAUAGCCAAUGAGGUCCAACCGAGGCGUGAUUAUUGCUAAUUGCUCAAGCGGAAGCUGUGAUCCCAUUAAGGAAGAGCUGCUGGCUUAUUUUUUGUCGGGGGCUUCGCACAUGCUC